GAUGAACGCUGGCGGCGUGCCUAAUACAUGCAAGUCGAGCGAACAGACGAGGAUCUUGCUCCUCUGACGUUAGCGGCUGACGGGUGAGUAACACGUGUAUAACCUACCUUUAAGACUGGGAUAACUUCGUGAAACCGGAGCUAAUACCGGAUAAUAUAUUGAACCGCAUGGUUCAAUUGUUAAUUACGGUUUUUCUUUCACUUAUAGAUGUUUCCGCGCCGCAUUAGCUAGUUGGUAAGGUAACGGCUUACCAAGGCUACGAUGCGUAGCCGACCUGAGAGGGUGAUCGGCAACACUGGAAGUGAGACACGGACCAGACUACUACGGGAGGCAGCAGUAGGGAAUAUUCCGAAAUGGGCGAAAGCAUGACGGAGCAACGCCGCGGGAGAGAUGAAGGACUUCGGAUCGUAAAACUCUGUUAUUAGGGAAGAAAAAAAGUGUAAGUAAAUAUGCACGUCUUGACGGUAACUAAUCAGAAAGCCACGGCUAACUACGUG
Molecule: ribosomal RNA, 497 nt
Filed under: uncultured bacterium
Lineage: Bacteria
Description: partial 16S ribosomal RNA
Rfam family: Bacterial small subunit ribosomal RNA
Source: RNAcentral